RNAcentral lists this microRNA precursor (288 nucleotides) under Podarcis lilfordi (Lilford's wall lizard). The record is from RNAcentral. Lineage: Eukaryota; Metazoa; Chordata; Lepidosauria; Squamata; Lacertidae.
AUUUGGGAGAGAGAGAGAGAGAGAGAGAGAGAGAGAGAGAGAGAGACCAGGGUUGGGGGAACACUUUCUGUGACCAUAUACAAUAGCUGAACAGCUGCAAGGCAAAACCUCAGGGACUCCCCUGGUUUCUCCUUACUGAGAAAACAUAUGGAGCCUAGACACAUGUGCUUCCCAUGUGGAGGCUACAUUUCAUGCAUGGUUUUUAUGUGUCUAAGUGAGUGAAGUUUGGCUCAGGACCCUCUCUCUCUCUCUCUCUCUCUCUCUCUCUCUCUCUCUCUCUCUCUCUCU